ACCUACGGGACGCAGCAGUGGGGGAUAUUGCACAAUGGGGGGAACCUUGAUGCAGCGACGCCGCGUGGGUGAAGAAGCGCCUCGGCGCGUAAAGCCCUGUCAGCAGGGAAGAAAAUGACGGUACCUGAAGAAGAAGCCCCGGCUAACUACGUGCCAGCAGCCGCGGUAAUACGUAGGGGGCAAGCGUUAUCCGGAUUUACUGGGUGCAAAGGGAGCGUAGGCGGUAAGGCAAGUCUGAUGUGAAAGGCCAGGGCUCAACCCUGGGACUGCAUUGGAAACUGUUUAACUGGAGUGUCGGAGAGGCA
RNAcentral lists this ribosomal RNA (305 nucleotides) under uncultured bacterium. Its description in RNAcentral is "bacterial SSU rRNA". It matches the Rfam family "Bacterial small subunit ribosomal RNA", at positions 337 to 659 of the family's 1533-position model. The record is from RNAcentral.